AACGCGAAGAACCUUACCUACCCUUGACAUCCUGGGAAGACCGUAGAGAUAUGGUUGUGCCGAAAGGAACCCGGAGACAGGUGCUGCAUGGCUGUCGUCAGCUCGUGUUGUGAGAUGUUGGGUUAAGUCCCGUAACGAGCGCAACCCUUAUCCUUAGUUACCAGCACGUAAUGGUGGGCACUCUAAGGAGACUGCUGGUGAAGAACCGGAGGAAGGCGGGGACGACGUCAAGUCAUCAUGGCCUUUAUGGGUAGGGCUACACACGUGCUACAAUGGGGCGUACAGAGGGAAGCCAACCCGCGAGGGGGAGCCGAUCCCUGAAAGCGCGUCGUAGUCCGGAUUGAAGUCUGCAACUCGACUUCAUGAAGUUGGAAUCGCUAGUAAUCGCGAAUCAGAAUGUCGCGGUGAAUACGUUCCCGGGCCUUGUA
RNAcentral lists this ribosomal RNA (428 nucleotides) under uncultured Gammaproteobacteria bacterium. Its description in RNAcentral is "bacterial SSU rRNA". It matches the Rfam family "Bacterial small subunit ribosomal RNA", at positions 958 to 1385 of the family's 1533-position model. Lineage: Bacteria; Pseudomonadati; Pseudomonadota; Gammaproteobacteria. The record is from RNAcentral.